RNAcentral lists this ribosomal RNA (2332 nucleotides) under Listeria monocytogenes. Its description in RNAcentral is "partial 23S ribosomal RNA". It matches the Rfam family "Bacterial large subunit ribosomal RNA", at positions 600 to 2925 of the family's 2925-position model. Lineage: Bacteria; Bacillati; Bacillota; Bacilli; Caryophanales; Listeriaceae. The record is from RNAcentral.
CGUGCCUUUUGUAGAAUGAACCGGCGAGUUACGAUUUGUUGCAAGGUUAAGCGGAAAAAGCGGAGCCGUAGCGAAAGCGAGUCUGAAUAGGGCGCAUAAGUAACAGGUCGUAGACCCGAAACCAGGUGAUCUACCCAUGUCCAGGAUGAAGGUAAGGUAAUACUUACUGGAGGUCCGAACCCACGCACGUUGAAAAGUGCGGGGAUGAGGUGUGGGUAGCGGAGAAAUUCCAAUCGAACUUGGAGAUAGCUGGUUCUCUCCGAAAUAGCUUUAGGGCUAGCCUCGAGGUAAAGAGUCAUGGAGGUAGAGCACUGUUUGGACUAGGGGCCCUUCUCGGGUUACCGAAUUCAGAUAAACUCCGAAUGCCAUGUACUUAUACUCGGGAGUCAGACUGCGAGUGAUAAGAUCCGUAGUCGAAAGGGAAACAGCCCAGACCACCAGUUAAGGUCCCCAAAUAUAUGUUAAGUGGAAAAGGAUGUGGGGUUGCUUAGACAACCAGGAUGUUGGCUUAGAAGCAGCCACCAUUGAAAGAGUGCGUAAUAGCUCACUGGUCGAGUGACCCCGCGCCGAAAAUGUACCGGGGCUAAACAUAUUACCGAAACUGUGGAUGAACCUCUUUAGAGGUUCGUGGUAGGAGAGCGUUCUAAGGGCGGUGAAGUCAGACCGGAAGGACUGGUGGAGCGCUUAGAAGUGAGAAUGCCGGUAUGAGUAGCGAAAGAAGGGUGAGAAUCCCUUCCACCGAAUAUCUAAGGUUUCCUGAGGAAGGCUCGUCCGCUCAGGGUUAGUCGGGACCUAAGCCGAGGCCGAUAGGCGUAGGCGAUGGACAACAGGUAGAGAUUCCUGUACCAGUGCUAAUUGUUUAACCGAUGGGGUGACACAGAAGGAUAGGGAAUCGCACGAAUGGAAAUGUGCGUCCAAGCAGUGAGUGUGAGAAGUAGGCAAAUCCGCUUCUCGCGAAGCAUGAGCUGUGAUGGGGAAGGAAAUUAAGUACGGAAGUUCCUGAUUUCACGCUGUCAAGAAAAGCCUCUAGGAAGAGUAGUACUGCCCGUACCGCAAACCGACACAGGUAGAUGAGGAGAGAAUCCUAAGGUGAGCGAGAGAACUCUCGUUAAGGAACUCGGCAAAAUGACCCCGUAACUUCGGGAGAAGGGGUGCUCUAUUAGGGUGCAAGCCCGAGAGAGCCGCAGUGAAUAGGCCCAGGCGACUGUUUAGCAAAAACACAGGUCUCUGCAAAACCGUAAGGUGACGUAUAGGGGCUGACGCCUGCCCGGUGCUGGAAGGUUAAGAGGAGUGCUUAGCUUCGGCGAAGGUACGAAUUGAAGCCCCAGUAAACGGCGGCCGUAACUAUAACGGUCCUAAGGUAGCGAAAUUCCUUGUCGGGUAAGUUCCGACCCGCACGAAAGGCGCAACGAUCUGGGCACUGUCUCAACGAGAGACUCGGUGAAAUUAUAGUACCUGUGAAGAUGCAGGUUACCCGCGACAGGACGGAAAGACCCCGUGGAGCUUUACUGCAACCUGAUAUGGAAUGUUUGUACCGCUUGUACAGGAUAGGUAGGAGCCGAAGAGACGUGUGCGCUAGCAUACGAGGAGGCAAUGGUGGGAUACUACCCUGGCUGUAUGACCAUUCUAACCCGCCACGCUUAGCGCGUGGGGAGACAGUGUCAGGUGGGCAGUUUGACUGGGGCGGUCGCCUCCUAAAGAGUAACGGAGGCGCCCAAAGGUUCCCUCAGAAUGGAUGGAAAUCAUUCGCAGAGUGUAAAGGCACAAGGGAGCUUGACUGCGAGACUGACAAGUCGAGCAGGGACGAAAGUCGGGCUUAGUGAUCCGGUGGUUCCGCAUGGAAGGGCCAUCGCUCAACGGAUAAAAGCUACCCCGGGGAUAACAGGCUUAUCUCCCCCAAGAGUCCACAUCGACGGGGAGGUUUGGCACCUCGAUGUCGGCUCGUCGCAUCCUGGGGCUGUAGUCGGUCCCAAGGGUUGGGCUGUUCGCCCAUUAAAGCGGCACGCGAGCUGGGUUCAGAACGUCGUGAGACAGUUCGGUCCCUAUCCGUCGCGGGCGCAGGAAAUUUGAGAGGAGCUGUCCUUAGUACGAGAGGACCGGGAUGGACACACCGCUGGUGUACCAGUUGUUCCGCCAGGAGCAUCGCUGGGUAGCUAUGUGUGGCAGGGAUAAACGCUGAAAGCAUCUAAGCGUGAAGCCCCCCUCAAGAUGAGAUUUCCCAUUUCUUCGGAAAGUAAGAUCCCUGAAAGAUGAUCAGGUAGAUAGGUUUGGAGUGGAAGUGUAGCGAUACAUGGAGCGGACAAAUACUAAUCGAUCGAGGACUUAACCAAAA